GUGUUGACCGGGACGCCAGCACGCCAGCCCCC
RNAcentral lists this non-coding RNA (32 nucleotides) under Geobacter sulfurreducens KN400. Lineage: Bacteria; Pseudomonadati; Thermodesulfobacteriota; Desulfuromonadia; Geobacterales; Geobacteraceae. The record is from RNAcentral.